GUCCUNGUAGCUUAUAAAUAAAGCAUGGCACUGAAGAUGCCAAGACGGCCCCCGCACACCCGAGGACA
Molecule: transfer RNA, 68 nt
Filed under: Bubo blakistoni (Blakiston's fish-owl)
Lineage: Eukaryota; Metazoa; Chordata; Aves; Strigiformes; Strigidae
Description: tRNA-Phe
Rfam family: tRNA
About the family: Transfer RNA (tRNA) molecules are approximately 80 nucleotides in length. Their secondary structure includes four short double-helical elements and three loops (D, anti-codon, and T loops).
Source: RNAcentral